AUUGAACGCUGGCGGCAGGCUUAACACAUGCAAGUCGAGCGGGGUGAUGGUGCUUGCACUAUCACUUAGCGGCGGACGGGUGAGUAAUGCUUAGGAAUCUGCCUAUUAGUGGGGGACAACAUCUCGAAAGGGAUGCUAAUACCGCAUACGUCCUACGGGAGAAAGCAGGGGAUCACUUGUGACCUUGCGCUAAUAGAUGAGCCUAAGUCGGAUUAGCUAGUUGGUGGGGUAAAGGCCUACCAAGGCGACGAUCUGUAGCGGGUCUGCGAGGAUGAUCCGCCACACUGGGACUGAGACACAGCCCAGACUCCUACGGGAGGCAGCAGUGGGGAAUAUUGGACAAUGGGGGGAACCCUGAUCCAGCCAUGCCGCGUGUGUGAAGAAGGCCUUAUGGUUGUAAAGCACUUUAAGCGAGGAGGAGGCUCUUUUGGUUAAUACCCAAGAUGAGUGGACGUUACUCGCGGAAUAAGCACCGGCUAACUCUGUGCCAGCAGCCGCCGUAA
Molecule: ribosomal RNA, 503 nt
Filed under: uncultured bacterium
Lineage: Bacteria
Description: partial 16S ribosomal RNA
Rfam family: Bacterial small subunit ribosomal RNA
Source: RNAcentral